Molecule: ribosomal RNA, 388 nt
Filed under: Klebsiella sp. GM23
Lineage: Bacteria; Pseudomonadati; Pseudomonadota; Gammaproteobacteria; Enterobacterales; Enterobacteriaceae
Description: bacterial SSU rRNA
Rfam family: Bacterial small subunit ribosomal RNA
Source: RNAcentral
AGAUGGAUUGGUGCCUUCGGGAACUGUGAGACAGGUGCUGCAUGGCUGUCGUCAGCUCGUGUUGUGAAAUGUUGGGUUAAGUCCCGCAACGAGCGCAACCCUUAUCCUUUGUUGCCAGCGGUUAGGCCGGGAACUCAAAGGAGACUGCCAGUGAUAAACUGGAGGAAGGUGGGGAUGACGUCAAGUCAUCAUGGCCCUUACGACCAGGGCUACACACGUGCUACAAUGGCAUAUACAAAGAGAAGCGACCUCGCGAGAGCAAGCGGACCUCAUAAAGUAUGUCGUAGUCCGGAUUGGAGUCUGCAACUCGACUCCAUGAAGUCGGAAUCGCUAGUAAUCGUAGAUCAGAAUGCUACGGUGAAUACGUUCCCGGGUCUUGUACACACCG